UCCUCCUGAAGCAGGAUGCUAUAGACCUCAGCAGUGUGGAAUGGUUGGUGGUGGAUGAGAGCGAUAAGCUGUUUGAGGAUGGUCGUAGUGGCUUCAGAGAGCAGCCAGCAGCAGUGUUCCAGGCGUGUUCCCUCCGCGGGUCAGACGAGCGCUCUACAGUGCUACCUGUGCUCCAGACGUGGAACAGUGGUGUCGCCUCAACCUCGACAACCUGGUCUCUGUCAACAUUGGACACAGGAACUCUGCAGUAGAGACAGUAGAACAGGAGCUGCUGUUUGUUGGAACGGAGAACGGGAAGUUACUGGCCGUGAGGGACAUCAUCA
This is a long non-coding RNA of Oncorhynchus nerka (sockeye salmon), 323 nucleotides long. RefSeq lists it as uncharacterized. The record is from RefSeq and is a predicted model, not a curated record. Lineage: Eukaryota; Metazoa; Chordata; Actinopteri; Salmoniformes; Salmonidae. The transcript has 3 exons.